RNAcentral lists this ribosomal RNA (817 nucleotides) under uncultured bacterium. RNAcentral describes it as "bacterial SSU rRNA". It matches the Rfam family "Bacterial small subunit ribosomal RNA", at positions 94 to 906 of the family's 1533-position model. The record is from RNAcentral.
AGUGGCGCAAGGGUGAGUAAUGUAUACGUAACCAACCCAUCGGAGACGGAUAACAUUUCGAAAGGGAUGCUAAAACGGCAUGAAGCCACGAUUUCGCAUGAGAUUGUGGUUAAAGAACCGGUAACAGGUUGCCGAUGGUUGGGCGUAUAUCCGAUUAGCUAGUUGGUAGUGUAACGGACUACCAAGGCGACGAUCGGUAGCUGGUCUGAGAGGAUGAUCAGCCACACUGGCACUGAGACACGGGCCAGACUCCUACGGGAGGCAGCAGUGGGGAAUAUUGGGCAAUGCCCGCAAGGGUGACCCAGCAACGCCGCGUGGAGGAUGAAGGCCGUAAGGUUGUAAACUCUGACAAGCAGGGAAGAACGGCUAUGGUAAAAGGCCAUAGAAUGACGGUACCUGCCUGAAGCCCCGGCUAACUACGUGCCAGCAGCCGCGGUAAUACGUAGGGGGCGAGCGUUGUCCGGAUUUACUGGGUGUAAAGGGUGCGUAGGCGGGCUAGUAAGUCAGUGGUUAAAAACCGUUGCUUAACAACGGGGGUGCCAUUGAUACUAUUAGUCUAGAGUUCGGUAGGGAGAGCUGGAAUUCCUGGUGUAGUGGUGAAAUACGCAGAUAUCAGGAGGAAUACCGGAGGCGAAGGCGAGCUCUUGGGCCGCUACUGACGCUGAGGCACGAAAGCGUGGGGAUCAAACAGGAUUANAUACCCUGNUAGUCCACGCUGUAAACGAUGAUAACUCGAUGUCGGCCGUAANNNCGGUGUCUAAGCAAACGCNAUAAGUUAUCCACCUGGGGAGUACNACCGCAAGGUUGAAACUCNAAU